Molecule: ribosomal RNA, 229 nt
Filed under: uncultured bacterium
Lineage: Bacteria
Description: partial 16S ribosomal RNA
Rfam family: Bacterial small subunit ribosomal RNA
Source: RNAcentral
CGCGUAGGCGGCCUGGUAAGUCAGAUGUGAAAGCCCGGGGCUUAACCCCGGAAGUGCAUUUGAUACUGUCAGGCCUGAGUAUGGGAGAGGGAAGUGGAAUUCCUGGUGUAGAGGUGAAAUUCGUAGAUAUCAGGAGGAACACCGGUGGCGAAGGCGACUUCCUGGACCAAUACUGACGCUGAGGCGCGAAGGCGUGGGGAGCAAACAGGAUUAGAUACCCUGGUAGUCC